AUUGAACGCUGGCGGAAUGCUUUACACAUGCAAGUCGAACGGCAGCACGGGGGCAACCCUGGUGGCGAGUGGCGAACGGGUGAGUAAUACAUCGGAACGUGCCCGGUCGUGGGGGAUAACGUAGCGAAAGUUACGCUAAUACCGCAUACGAUCUGAGGAUGAAAGCGGGGGACCUUCGGGCCUCGCGCGAUCGGAGCGGCCGAUGUCAGAUUAGGUAGUUGGUGGGGUAAAGGCCUACCAAGCCGACGAUCUGUAGCUGGUCUGAGAGGACGACCAGCCACACUGGGACUGAGACACGGCCCAGACUCCUACGGGAGGCAGCAGUGGGGAAUUUUGGACAAUGGGCGCAAGCCUGAUCCAGCCAUUCCGCGUGCAGGACGAAGGCCUUCGGGUUGUAAACUGCUUUUGUAUGGAACGAAAAGGCCCUGGCUAAUACCUGGGGCUCAUGACGGUACCGUAAGAAUAAGCACCGGCUAACUACGUG
This 484-nucleotide ribosomal RNA is filed under the name uncultured bacterium. RNAcentral describes it as "partial 16S ribosomal RNA". It matches the Rfam family "Bacterial small subunit ribosomal RNA", at positions 30 to 507 of the family's 1533-position model. The record is from RNAcentral.